Molecule: ribosomal RNA, 274 nt
Filed under: uncultured bacterium
Lineage: Bacteria
Description: partial 16S ribosomal RNA
Rfam family: Bacterial small subunit ribosomal RNA
Source: RNAcentral
CUACGGAGGGGGUUAGCGUUGUUCGGAAUUACUGGGCGUAAAGCGUACGUAGGCGGAUCGGAAAGUAAGGGGUGAAAUCCCAGGGCUCAACCCUGGAACUGCCUCUUAAACUCCCGGUCUUGAGUUCGAGAGAGGUGAGUGGAAUUCCUAGUGUAGAGGUGAAAUUCGUAGAUAUUAGGAGGAACACCAGUGGCGAAGGCGGCUCACUGGCUCGAUACUGACGCUGAGGUACGAAAGUGUGGGGAGCAAACAGGAUUAGAUACCCUAGUAGUCC